CUAAGGAUUUGGCCGAAAGCGUCCGCUCUUGCAGUGGAAAGGGCUUCGUCCAUUUUCGCAGAACAUGCCGUCGUCCUCAUGUCCCUUCAUCCUGGAGAUUGCCCUUAUGGGGCAAUUAGCCUGAGCUGGCUCACGCCGCCCGCGGCCCUCCCUUUUCAUUAAGGGGUGACUAGCUUGGGUUGCGGUGGGGGCCGGUAGCUCAGGUGGUUAGAGCGCACGCCUGAUAAGCGUGAGGUCGUAGGUUCAACUCCUACUCGGCCCACCAUUCUCGCGAGAACCUGGCCAUGCUUCGCUUUGUGUGAAGUUAGCGAGGUUUGCCGCGGCUUAAGGGGCCUUAGCUCAGCUGGGAGAACACCUGCUUUGCAAGCAGGGGGUCAUCGGUUCGAUCCCGAUAGGCUCCACCAAGCGUAACCAGAUACUCCAGAGAUGAAGACACGAACUUGCGAUCCUUCGGGAUCGUAACCGAGGGAUUUGCCCUCUCUUUGACAUUGUGAAUGGGUUUUUAAUCGAUGCCGUGGCGCAUCGUGUGGCGACUUUAUCCGUAAGGAUUGGGGUCGUGGCAUGAAUGCGGCACAUUACAGAUGUAAUAUCUGGCUGAGAUUAUCGUCCGCACCUAGCACGACGCAGGUUUUAUGCAGGCCUGUCGUUGAUGGUGUGGAUUCUCAAGCGUGAGGUAAGAGCAUUU
Molecule: transfer RNA, 685 nt
Filed under: uncultured Sphingomonadaceae bacterium
Lineage: Bacteria; Pseudomonadati; Pseudomonadota; Alphaproteobacteria; Sphingomonadales; Sphingomonadaceae
Description: partial 16S-23S ribosomal RNA intergenic spacer
Rfam family: tRNA (bases 189-262)
Source: RNAcentral